GGGGUCGUGGCACAGUGGUAGCGCGUUCGGCUGCAGUCCGAUUGGUCGGUGGUUCGAUUCCACCCGGCCCCU
This is a transfer RNA of Salpingoeca sp., 72 nucleotides long. It matches the Rfam family "tRNA". From Rfam's summary of the family: Transfer RNA (tRNA) molecules are approximately 80 nucleotides in length. Their secondary structure includes four short double-helical elements and three loops (D, anti-codon, and T loops). Lineage: Eukaryota; Choanoflagellata; Craspedida; Salpingoecidae. The record is from Rfam.